CGGUGGUCAACACACAAUAGAAUAUGUUUGUUUUUGAUCGGAUUGAGACAAAAGUACCAUUUUGUAGGAUGUUCGCCGAUUCUUCCUCUUCUUUCUCUCAUAAAACUGGAGAUACUAGCUUCUAAUCUGCAUAUUUUUGCAAAUCCUUUUCCAUUUGGAUUUUUGAAAACAUUAACUGACCUCUAGAAUUCCACUAUAUAUAACGUUGACGUUCCGCCAAAAUGUGCCAGAGCGAGUGAAAGGCAAGCCUACCCACGGUGUUAACUUGCCAUCCCCAACAAAUCUGCUAGCAGCCCAUUCGAGUUCCGCUUGGAAACAAGAAGCUCUUCUUUAUUUGCGGUUUUUUUGCCCAAGAUAAGCCCAUUUUUACAGAGCCAAGCCUAUUAUAAGAGUUCAACUGCCAUAUUCGGAUGGAGUCCAAAUGCUUGCAUCUUGGGCUGAAGAAUGACCCAAUUCCUUAGCUUCCAUGCAUUAAUCAUAUCCGGGGAUGUGGGAAUAGGGAGAUGCCAUCCAUCUACAUGACACGAUAGCUUAAGCAAAGAAUAGAGAGAGCUAAGCUAGAAUACAAACAAAAAAGAUAUUCCACUAGCGUAGGCCUACCAUAGAAAAGUCUAAAAAAACCUUUUCUUUGUCUGUCAGCGGGAGAGAAAGCAAGCUUACGGUGCUUUGGAUGUUAAUGUUUU
Molecule: long non-coding RNA, 683 nt
Filed under: Triticum aestivum (bread wheat)
Lineage: Eukaryota; Viridiplantae; Streptophyta; Magnoliopsida; Poales; Poaceae
Description: long non-coding RNA (TAES_LNC013147)
Source: RNAcentral